Molecule: ribosomal RNA, 253 nt
Filed under: uncultured bacterium
Lineage: Bacteria
Description: partial 16S ribosomal RNA
Rfam family: Bacterial small subunit ribosomal RNA
Source: RNAcentral
UACGGAGGGAGCUAGCGUUGUUCGGAAUUACUGGGCGUAAAGCGCACGUAGGCGGCUAUUCAAGUCGGGGGUGAAAUCCUGGAGCUCAACUCCAGAACUGCCUUUGAUACUGGGAAGCUCGAGUCCGGGAGAGGUGAGUGGAACUCCGAGUGUAGAGGUGAAAUUCGUAGAUAUUCGGAAGAACACCAGUGGCGAAGGCGGCUCACUGGCCCGGUACUGACGCUGAGGUGCGAAAGCGUGGGGAGCAAACAGG